UUCCUACGGGUGGCAGCAGUGGGGAAUAUUGGACAAUGGACGCAAGUCUGAUCCAGCAAUGCCGCGUGAGUGAUGAAGGCCUUAGGGUUGUAAAGCUCUUUUACCAGGGAUGAUAAUGACAGUACCUGGAGAAUAAGCUCCGGCUAACUCCGUGCCAGCAGCCGCGGUAAUACGGAGGGAGCUAGCGUUGUUCGGAAUUACUGGGCGUAAAGCGCACGUAGGCGGUUACUCAAGUCAGAGGUGAAAGCCCGGGGCUCAACCCCGGAACUGCCUUUGAAACUAGGUAACUAGAAUCCUGGAGAGGUGAGUGGAAUUCCGAGUGUAGAGGUGAAAUUCGUAGAUAUUCGGAAGAACACCAGUGGCGAAGGCGGCUCACUGGACAGGUAUUGACGCUGAGGUGCGAAAGCGUGGGGAGCAAACAGGAUUAGAUACCCCGGUAGUCC
This 443-nucleotide ribosomal RNA is filed under the name uncultured Alphaproteobacteria bacterium. RNAcentral describes it as "bacterial SSU rRNA". It matches the Rfam family "Bacterial small subunit ribosomal RNA", at positions 336 to 796 of the family's 1533-position model. The record is from RNAcentral. Lineage: Bacteria; Pseudomonadati; Pseudomonadota; Alphaproteobacteria.